UUCGACCUCAAAUCAGGUAGGACUACCCGCUGAACUUAAGCAUAUCAUUAAGCGGAGGAAAAGAAACCAACAGGGAUUGCCUUAGUAGCGGCGAGUGAAGCGGCAAAAGCUCAAAUUUGAAAUCUGGCACUUUCAGUGUCCGAGUUGUAAUUUGAAGAAGGUAUCUUUGGGUCUGGUUGUUAGUUUCCGUUGGAAAC
Molecule: ribosomal RNA, 197 nt
Filed under: Lodderomyces parapsilosis
Lineage: Eukaryota; Fungi; Ascomycota; Pichiomycetes; Serinales; Debaryomycetaceae
Description: Candida parapsilosis partial 28S ribosomal RNA
Rfam family: Eukaryotic large subunit ribosomal RNA
Source: RNAcentral